Molecule: long non-coding RNA, 3663 nt
Filed under: Nicotiana tabacum (common tobacco)
Lineage: Eukaryota; Viridiplantae; Streptophyta; Magnoliopsida; Solanales; Solanaceae
Description: long non-coding RNA (NTAB_LNC016264)
Source: RNAcentral
UAUGAAAUCCAUAAUACAACUCCACCCAGAACUGGUGUCACAAUAUCACAGACUGUCUACGAAUACUACAAAGAGUGGUCUGAACAAGAAAAUACAAAUCUAUCUCAUAAAUAGAUAAAACAGGAGGAAAUAUGAUAGAAGGGGAUGCAAAGGCCUACAGAUGCCUGCAGGACUACCUCGGGUCUCCACUGGACUGAAGGCAGCAACCUCGAACUACGGUCCGUAGGGUCCAGUACCGAGAUCUGCACAAAAGAGUGCAGAGUGUAGUAUUAGUAUAACCGACCCCAUGUACUGGUAAGUGUCGAGCUUAACCUCGGCGAAGUAUUGACGAGGCUAGGACGCAACAACCAUAUGAACCUGUGCAAUUUAAUCAUAUACGAGAGGCAAUAAUAACAAUAAUUAAAUAGAACAAGAAGGGGAAAGGGGAAAGGGGAAACAUGCUGAGAGGGAUAUCAGGUUAUGACAAUAAUAACGUAAAGCGACAAAGUAAAUAUCAAACUUGAAGCAACGGAAAUAAUAACACAGUAAUAAGUGCAUGACAUCACCCUUCGUGCUUUUACUCUUGUCCUCACCAUAGAAUCAACAGAAACGGCACGACAUCACCCUUCGUACUUUUACUCUCUCAUAAUCAUGGCACGACAUCAUCCUUCGUGCUUUUAAUUUCAUUAAUAUGGCACGACAUCACCCUUCGUGCAUUAACACUCACAAUAUCGGCAUGGCACCACCCUUCGUGCAUUAACACUUACUCACAAUCUCAUGCACAUCAUCACCCUUCAUGCUUUACACUUUUUCUCAACCAAACAAAUGAAAUGAUAACAUCCCGGCAAGUGAAUCAACAAUAUAAACAAUAAUAGAAAUAAUACUGUCCCAGCAAGGAAGUCAAUAAUAGAAACAAAUCAUCCCGACAAGGGAAUCAUCUAUAACCAAUUUAGUUUCAACAGUUACUUCACAAAAUAAACCUCAAUUUGAGCCAAUACUCGAAAAUGGUCAAUUACCAAGAAUUAUCUCAAGCUAAUGUUGUUCCACAGUGCUAAUCAUCCAUUUAAGCUUGAACAACAUAUAAUAAAAUCACAACAAUCUUAACAUAAGACUCACGGGCAUGCUUGACACUAACUUAUAAAUACUAGUCACCUCACCUAUACGUCGUACUCGAAACUAACACAUAGCAAAUAAGACACAACGCCUAUUCCCUCAAGCUAAUGUUAGACCAAAUACUUACCUCGGAUUCCACGGCCAAACUCAAGCCUCAAAUACCGCUUUCCCUUUAGAUUCCACUUCCAAUUCACUUGUAUCUAGCCAAUAUUAACUUAUUAAUAUUAAUUGAAGCCAAAGAAAUCAAUUCAAAUGAAGAAUUACAGAUUUCCCAACAUUCUUCCAAAAAGUCAAAACCCGACCCCGCUCGCUUGGUCAAAACUCGAGGUUCGAACCAAAACUCGUUCACCCAUUCACACACGAGCCCAAAUAUGCAAUUAGUUUCGAAAUUCGAUCCCAAAUCGAGGUCUAAAUCCCCCAAAUUUGUAAAAUCCCAAUUCUAUUAAAAUCCUUAAUUUCUACCCUUAAAGAACAAGAUUUAGGCCUAGAAAUCUAAUGAGUGUUGAUGGAAAAUGAAAGAAAUGAGUUAAAGAACACAUACCUAUGACUGGGUGUUGAAAUUUCUCUUCAAAAAUCGCCCUAGGUCGGAUUCUAUGGAAGGAGAUAUGAAAUUAUGGCUUAUUCCCAUUUUGAUUCUGUUUUAAAAAGUCUGGGCAGGCCUUUUUCGCGUUCGCAAAGAGCUACCUUGCUCAGGCUUACGCGAGUUCCUCCACGCGUUCGCGAAGGGUAUGCCCCCUGGCCUUCACGUUCGCAGACCAUUGUACGUGUUCGCGUAGAAGAAAUGACUGAUUCCCAGCCCACCUCCAUUUUACACUACGCAUUCUCGUGACACCGGUCACGUUCGCGAUAAGCAGCCCCCCAAUGCUUCGCAUUCGCGAUCAUGGCUACGCGUUCGCGAUGAACAAAACCCAGCUUCAGCCCUAAGUACACUUCGCGGUCGCGGGAGUGGCUUCGCGACCCGAAGCAUAAAAUGCCUGCACACCAGAAGCAGCAAAAACACCCCGAAACCUAUCCGAAACUCACCUGAGCCCUUGGGGCUCCAAACCAAUCAUGCACACAAGUAUAAAAAUAUCAUACGUACUUACUCGUGCGAUUAAAUCGCCAAAGUAACACCUAGAACUACAAGUUUAGCAUCAAAAUCAAAGAAAAAUCUCAAGAACUUUUAAAGUUUCCAUUUCACAAUCGAGAGUCCGAUUCACGUCAUAUGAAUUUCGUUUAUUACCAAAUUUUACAGGCACAACUUAAAUACCAUAAUAAACUUGUAUCGGGCUUCGGAACCAAAAUACGGGCCCGAUACCAUCAAAUUCAAACAUCUUUAAAUUUCCAAAAACUCUUAUAUUUUCAGUUAAAUAAUUUCUUUCAAAAAUUCAUUUCUCGGGCUAAGGACCUCGGAAUUCAAUUCCGAGCAUACGCCUAAGUCCCAUAUUUUCCUACGGACCCUCCGAGACUGUCGAAUCACAGGUUCGGGUCCGUUUACCUAAAAUAUUGACCGAAGUUAACUUAAAUUCAAUUUUAAAGGCAAAAUUAGCAUUUUCCUCAAAUUUUCACAUAAGGGCUUUCCGGAUAUACGCCCGGACUGUGCGCGCAAAUCGAGGUGAGACAAAAGAAAGUUUUUAUAGCCUCGAAACACAGAUUUGACUUUUAAAACAAGAGAUGACAUUUUGGGUCAUCACACAUAUGGAAAAAUUUCGAACUCCAGCAUAUUAUGCUGGAAUUUUUCCGAAUUUUUAAGAGUGUUUUUAUUCAGAUUUUAUGUUUACAUAAAAAAAUGGCUAAAUUUCGAUUUUGUUUGAAACUGUGACUAUUUUUUAGCUAUCGAUUAUAAAUUAAGCUAUUUCCGAUUAUUUUUUUCCCAUAGUAGCCAUAUGGGUGUCUUCAUGUCUCUUCCUCUAUGAUUUCCCUUUCUUAUCAGUUAUCACUAGGUGUUUCUUUUGUAAAAUGCAGCAUAUUAUAAUUACCCUAUAGACUGUAGUUCUGCCCAUAAAAAGCACAAUGAAAGCCAACUAAUCUUGCUUUUUCCCCUACUUUAAUCAGCUUUAGACAUGAUUAAUUAAGUUGGUCUUUAAAAAGAUUAAUCUUUUAAGGGAUGUAGCUUUCACUAGGCAUGAUUACAAACCCUAAAAGCAUUGCAAACAUUCGGGAAUCCAGCCAUCUCUAAGAAAACAAAACAUAGUGAAAAUUAAAAAAAGUCACUCUUCCCACCUUUCACCGAAAAGUAGCACCAAGUGUAGCAACAUAUCCUUGACUUUUUACCAGACAAGAAAAUUAAAAUCACUCCCUAAAUUGUCAGUAUUUCAACCCUUUUAUUCUUUUUUCUUUAGAAUUUUAUGCUCUGUACAAAAAUUAUAUAAAUUUUUACACAAUCAAAUUAAAUUAAUUUACAAGACUAUGGUAAUAAGAUUUGAGAGCUAACUCACUUGAGGAUCUUCAUGUCUUCCGCAGUUAAGGUGGAGAGUUCAAACUUCAUCAAUAGACCACAACAUUCCUUUCCUCUUUUCCUUGUCCCCCUCCUUAUGAAAAAAAAUUAAAAAGAAAACCUACAACAACAAGUAAUUUUUCAUAACAAGCCUA